GGGGAAUUUUGGACAAUGGGCGCAAGCCUGAUCCAGCCAUGCCGCGUGAGUGAAGAAGGCCUUCGGGUUGUAAAGCUCUUUCGGCUGGGAAGAAAUCGCAUCUCCUAAUACGGGGUGUGGAUGACGGUACCAGCAUAAGAAGCACCGGCUAACUACGUGCCAGCAGCCGCGGUAAUACGUAGGGUGCGAGCGUUAAUCGGAAUUACUGGGCGUAAAGCGUGCGCAGGCGGUUUCGUAAGACAGACGUGAAAUCCCCGGGCUCAACCUGGGAACUGCGUUUGUGACUGCGAGGCUAGAGUAUGGCAGAGGGGGGUGGAAUUCCACGUGUAGCAGUGAAAUGCGUAGAGAUGUGGAGGAACACCGAUGGCGAAGGCAGCCCCCUGGGCCAAUACUGACGCUCAUGCACGAAAGCGUGGGGAGCAAAC
Molecule: ribosomal RNA, 425 nt
Filed under: uncultured bacterium
Lineage: Bacteria
Description: bacterial SSU rRNA
Rfam family: Bacterial small subunit ribosomal RNA
Source: RNAcentral